AGUGAACGCUGGCGGUAGGCCUAACACAUGCAAGUCGAACGGCAGCACAGUAAGAGCUUGCUCUUACGGGUGGCGAGUGGCGGGCGGGUGAGGAAUACAUCGGAAUCUACUUUUUCGUGGGGGAUAACGUAGGGAAACUUACGCUAAUACCGCAUACGACCUACGGGUGAAAGCAGGGGAUCUUCGGACCUUGCGCGAUUCAAUGAGCCGAUGUCGGAUUAGCUAGUUGGCGGGGUAAAGGCCCACCAAGGCGACGAUCCGUAGCUGGUCUGAGAGGAUGAUCCGCCACACUGGAACUGAGACACGGUCCAGACUCCUACGGGAGGCAGCAGUGGGGAAUAUUGGACAAUGGGCGCAAGCCUGAUCCAGCCAUACCGCGUGGGUGAAGAAGGUCUUCGGGUUGUAAAGCCCUUUUGUUGGGAAAGAAAAGCAGCAGGUUAAUACCCCGCUGUUCUGACGGUACCCAAAGAAUAAGCACCGGCUAACUUCGUG
Molecule: ribosomal RNA, 492 nt
Filed under: uncultured bacterium
Lineage: Bacteria
Description: partial 16S ribosomal RNA
Rfam family: Bacterial small subunit ribosomal RNA
Source: RNAcentral